Molecule: long non-coding RNA, 933 nt
Filed under: Homo sapiens (human)
Lineage: Eukaryota; Metazoa; Chordata; Mammalia; Primates; Hominidae
Description: HSALNT0332474
Source: RNAcentral
CAGAGAGCCUGCCUAGAGUCUGGAUUUUUUAAGCUGCUGGAUACCAGGUGCUACCUGACACCAGCUCAUCCCCUGCCUCUAGAGUCCUGGAGGGCUUUGAGUUGAUCACUUUCCACUCCAGGAAUGUUAUAAGAAACCGCUCAGAAAGGUGAUUGCAAAUCUAUGGAUGAGACCAAGGGAGAAUUUUCACGCCAUCAUAGCAUUUUAUUCCUCACCUGACUGGGAGCAGCUCGAAGGGAAGGACAUGUCUCCAAAGACAUGAGGAGUAUUCAACGUGGCAUUCGAGGCGCAAGGAAAAACCUGCCUAUCCCAAGAUCUCAGCCCCAUCAGCCAGCCAAGGGAUCCACAAUGACCCUUAUGAAGUUUCAUAAGGAAGCUAAUUGCUUAAAUGAGAUUUGAGUCAAGAAGGAUGACCUAGCAAUAACCUCUAUAUAUCUCAUUAUGCCAAAACUUAAAUGGCUACAUAAGAGGACAGUCCAGUGACAGACAUGGAAAGAGGCUUAGAGGUCAUCUCAUUCAUCACACCAUUUUACAGAGGAAAGCAAAAUGCCAUCCAGAGAAGGAAAGUCACAAAGCCAUCUAACCCCAGACCUGGGAGUAGCAGCUGAUCACAGCGGGUCGGACACAAGAAGCUGCUUCCAAAAAUCUUUCCUUCCAUUUGUCCUACAGAGAAGACAUCAGAAAACAAAAUUUUAUAAGCAUGUCUCUAGCUCUAACUCACUAUUCAACUAAAGGACAAAUUAAAUAGGGAAUGAGAUAACCUUAACUUCAUGAGAUUUGUUCUUAUAUGCAGUUUUCUACCCUGAGAAACCAAUCUAUGCUAAAGAUAAUAUUUGUGCUUUUCAAUGAGGCUGGUAAAAUAUUUGCACUUUGAAGCUCAGAGCGAUAACAUUUAUUCAUUCGGGUGAAACUUAUCAGGAUUAGGUAAAUAUA